Molecule: long non-coding RNA, 1491 nt
Filed under: Homo sapiens (human)
Lineage: Eukaryota; Metazoa; Chordata; Mammalia; Primates; Hominidae
Description: HSALNT0137774
Source: RNAcentral
AUGGAACUGAGCCUGGCAGACACUGCAAAUGAGGCCCCUGCCAGCCAGGGGAAGCAUUGAUAGGCACACUGAGGGUAUGCUGAAGAAGGCAGUGAGGUCCAGCUCCAGGAAGCUGCAGCAACAUUAGGCCACUGCAGCGGACCUCAUUUUCAGAAGGAUUUUAAGCCAAAGCCCAAGGUUUAUUAUAAAGGACUUACAAAGGACAAAGACGAAGAGACACAUAGGGCAAGGUACCAGGGAAGGGGCACAGAGCUUCCAUGCCCUCCCUGGGCGCAUCACUCUACAGGAACCUCCCUGUGUUCAGCUAUCCAGAAGCUCUCCAAACUCCAUCCUCUUGGGCUUUAAUGGAAGCUUCGCAAGCCCUCAAGAUACAUGAAGCUGUGGGCCCUCAGAAACAUCUGGCUCAGCAGAAAUGACUGCAGGGUCUGCCUCUGAAGCCCAGCGUUUCUACUCCAUUUGGGAUAUUCCACACAGGAAGAGAAUUGGAAAUGCUGGAGAAGCUCUGGAAGCCCACAGAGAACAGAUGCAUAAACACCAUUUACCAGACACAGCUCAGCAAACCCUCUCUCUCUUCCUUCCAGCAGCUUGGUUGUCCUCAAGGAGUUCCUAAAUUUCAUACUUCUGAGGGUUAUAUGGGAUGGUGAGGGGUGGAGGAGAGUAGCACGGAUUGAAAAAUACAUUAAUGUUGGCUGGGCACAGUGGCUCACACCUGUAAUCCCAGCGCUUUGGGAGGCCGAGGCUGGUAGAUCACCUGAGGUCAGGAGUUUGAGACCAGCCUGGCCAACAUGGCGAAACCCCAUCUCUACUAAAAAUACAAAAUUUAGCUGGGUGUGAUGGCACAUGCUUGUAAUCCCAGCUACUCAGGAGGCUGAGGCAGGAGAAUCGCUUGAACCCAGGAAGCGGAGGUUGCAGUGAGCUGAGAUUGCAGCAUUGCACUCCAGCCUGGGCAACAAGAGAGAUGCUCCAUCUUAAAAAAAAAAAGAAAAAUACAUUAAAGUGUACCAAAAUAAAUAUAUGACAGCUUUUAAAUUAUUUUCCAUGGGAAAAAAACUUAUAAUUAGUGACAAUUACUUACUGAGGGCCUGCUGGGCUAGACAUUAUGGACAUUGUGAAAGAUAAAAAGUUCAAGACACAGACUCUGUUUUCAGGAUGUGUACGCUUUAAAUAUGAAGUUAACACAGGGCAGAAAAGUAGAUACACACAUGCACACACAUACCUAUACACACAUACCUACACACACACACACACACACACACACACACAAAUACUCCUCAGACCCAAAGGACGGAGACAUCACAAUGAACAAGAUGAACAAUUGGUAGGAUUUUAAAAGACUAUUUUCUUUUUCAGCAAGGAGGAUGGAGUGGGCAGGUAGGGGAUGGUAUUUAUUUCCCAAGCAAAUCAAUUAGAAAAAAUAUUUGUAUUUCAGUAAAUUUAUUUUUUUCAAUCUUCAGAUAUAAGAAGGCUUUUCCAUGAAAAACACUCUAUUUA